Long non-coding RNA from Symphalangus syndactylus (siamang), 3875 nucleotides. RefSeq lists it as uncharacterized. NCBI's taxonomy places the organism in Eukaryota, Metazoa, Chordata, Mammalia, Primates, Hylobatidae. The record is from RefSeq and is a predicted model, not a curated record.
CGGCGCCCAGCCCUGAUUGACGUUCAGCCAGGCCAAUCAUAGCCUCAGCGUCUGAGGCGCGCGGACCCGGAGCGCCCAGGGCACGUCCGCGGGUCCCACGGAUGCAAUCUCAGGCGCCGCCGCCCGGGCGGCAGUACGCCUGAGGGGGUCCUCCGUGUGCGCGCCUCCCGCCGCCGGCACUGAAAGGUCUGCACCUGAGCCUGGAUACUUGAACAGAGGCAGACACUGCGGCUCAAAACUCCAAGGGUAGGUGCCUAUUGUGCAGAGUCCGGGAACGCCUGCCUGGAAGAAGAGUUCCGGCGGCUCCCCGAACACUUGGAGAAAGCGCUUGGAUGCAGUUGCAGGCUCUGAGACAAAAAUUGGGAACCUCAGCAUGAGUUUGUCACCUGAAUGAAAUAAAAAAAAUCACGUUGAAGGCUGGGUGCAUGCCUGUAGUCCCAGCUACUCUGGAGGCUGAGUCAGGAGGAUCACUUGAGCCCAGAAGUUCAGGAAUUCAAGACUGGCUUGAGCAACAUAGCAAGACUUCAUUUCAAAACAAACAUAAAAAAACCACCACCUUCAGUAUUUCUUGCCAAAGCAAAGGAGCCAUUCGUUCUUUACGAUGGUCAGAAAAGGAAGCAUCAAGGUCAUCAAAUGAAAAUUUUCAGCAUUUCAGCCUGUUUGCUCAGGGAAAUAUCUGAAUCUAGAAUAUCACAACAUAAGCCAAAACUGCCCCAUUUCUCAUGCCACAUGUCACUCUUAACACAAGGUUACUCAACCUCGAGCAUGGUUGGCAUUUGGGGCUGAAUAAUUCUUUAUUGUAGGGGGCUGUCCUGGGCAUUGUAGGAUGCUCAUGAGCUACCUCAGUCUCUACCACCCACUAGAUAUCAGUAGCAUUGACCCCUGAUCUCUCUACCCAAGUUGUGACAACUAAAACCAUCCCCGGAUAAUGGAGGAACCUUAAAUGCAUAUUGCUAAGGAAAAGCCAAUCUGAAAGGAUUACAUAUCGUAUGAGUCCAACUAUAUGGUAAUCUGGAAAAGGCAAAACCAUGGAGACAGUAAAAAGGUAGUGGUUACCAGUGGUCCAUGGGAAGGGUUGGAUGAAUAGGUGGAGCACAAAGGAUUUUUAAGGCAGUGAAACUAUUCUGAAUGAUACUGUAAUGGUGGAUACAUGUCAUACCUUUGUCAAAACCAAUAAAAUAUAACAACCAAUAAAACAGCACAAAGAGUGAACCCUAAUGUAAACUAUGGACUUAAUAAUGUAUAAAUAUUGGCUCACCAAUUUUAACAAACGUACCACACUAAUGCAAGAUGUUACUGGUAGUGGAAACUGGAGGGAAGAGGGCUUGAGGAGACAUAUGGGAACUCUCUGUAAUUCCUGUUCAGUUUUUCUGUAACUGUUAAACUGUCCAAAAAAAGUCUGUUUUUAUAAAUGGAGGCAUGGUUUUAUAUGGACUAAAAUACUAUGAUUGCCUUUUUAUUUUACACAUGGUGAAAUUAGAGCAGGACAUAUUUUAAACUCAAAAUUCACAAAAUUAAUUUAUGAAAAUGUUCACCCAGAUCAAGAAUAUUAAAGAAACUUAGAUUAAUACUGUUACCUUGAAUUUAUUUUACUGAGUAAUCCUCUAAGACUCCUCUACACAUUAUUAAUCUAGAAGGAUUUUUAAAGUCUUUUUAUGACAAUUAAUUAUUGGUCUACAGUCAAAUUGCGUAUCUCCAUUAAACUAGAGUUAUAUUUUUCCAUUUUCAGAUCCAAAAACUUCUUAGGAAUAGGAAAUGUUUAUUUUAGAAAACAAGAACACUUCUUAAGCAUUUGCUGUUAACAGUUAUUUUCACAUGUGCUUGUACUUAUUUUGCACUUGUCAGAACAUAGUAUUUACCUUUGAACCAAGGGGUUUUUUUUUGUUUUUUUUUAAUUUUAUAAUUAUUAUACUUUAAGUUUUAGGGUACAUGUGCACAAUGUGCAGGUUUGUUACAUAUGUAUACAUGUGCCAUGUUGGUGUGCUGCACCCAUUAACUCGUCAUUUAGCAUUAGGUAUAUCUCCUCAUGCUAUCCCUCCCCCCUCCCCCCACCCCACAACAGUCCCCGGAGUGUGAUGUUCCCCUUCCUGUGUGCAUGUGUUCUCAUUGUUCAGUUCCCACCUAUGAGUGAGAACAUGCGGUGUUUGGUUUUUUGUCCUUGCGAUAGUUUACUGAGAAUGAUGAUUUCCAGUUUCAUCCAUGUCCCUACAAAGGACAUGAACUCAUCAUUUUUUAUGGCUGCAUAGUAUUCCAUGGUGUAUAUGUGCCACAUUUUCUUAAUCCAGUCUAUCGUUGUUGGACAUUUGGGUUGGUUCCAAGUCUUUGCUAUUGUGAAUAGUGCCGCAAUAAACAUACGUGUGCAUGUGUCUUUAUAGCAGCAUGAUUUAUAGUCCUUUGGGUAUAUACCCAGUAAUGGGAUUGCUGGGUCAAAUGGUAUUUCUAGUUCUAGAUCCCUGAGGAACCUCCACACUGACUUCCACAAUGGUUGAACUAGUUUACAGUCCCACCAACAGUGUAAAAGUGUUCCUAUUUCUCCGCAUCCUCUCCAGCACCUGUUGUGAACCAAGGUUUUAUAAUAAGCAAGCACUUUUUUUAAUUUAGAAGUCACAUUUUCCAAGUAGAAAAAUCAUUAAAAAUUCAGUCCUCUGAAGGCUAAUUUCUUUAAAUCAUUUAACCUAAUUAUUUAAGGUAUAGAUUGGAAUUUUUCUCAGCACUCUCUUGAAAACAGGUGACAGUGGAACCCUGUUAGGUUCACAAAUCCUAGACUUUGAUUAUAUAGCCCAGGCUCGAAUUUUUCUCGAAUGUUAUGAACAUUCAAAGCAUUAGGAGUCUUCGUUUCAUUUCUUAAUUUUUUUUCUUCUGGGUAUAUUUGAGACUCAUCUUGGAUUCAAAUAAAUUAAUAAUAGUCUCAUGAAACCGAUAAAAAUGGGAGCUCCAUUGAACAUGAGAGACAUUGAUUCGUAGUUUCUAACAUCCUCCAAAUGAGGAUCCCAUCCCUAAUUUAGAUGCUUCUUUCAAAGGAGGCUUCUUUCCUUUGUUAUCCAUGAUAUAGUCACACCAGUCCUGAAAAAACAUGGAAUAGACCCCAGAUCUUUAUAUUUCAUACUCUAAAGUCAUACAAGCCGAUCUGCAUUUCCUCUAGUGGAAACUGUAUAGCUGGUCAUCUGUCCGGGGCCCUUUUAUCAAGAAACAAUGCAGCUUCUACAUUUGUGCUGCUUCUACACCAAAACAGCUAGAAUCUAUAGGAUAUGGUUCUGGAUGCUCUUGUGUACCUCACUCUUCAUUUCUCACCUAACCCAUGUGCUAUGGUUUGAAUGUUCCUCCCCUGCAAAACUCAUGUCGAAAUGUAAUUGCCAUUGUAACAGUAUUAAUAGGUGGAAUUUUUAAGAGGUGGUUAGGGUGGGAUUGGUGAUGUUAUAAAAGGGUAACUUCAGCCCCUUCUUGCUCUCUCUCUCACCGUUCCACCUUCCUCUGUGCGCUGAUGCAACAAAAAAGUCCUUCCCAGAUGCCAGCAUCUUGAUUUUGGACUUCUCAGCCUACAGAACUAUAAGCCAAUAAAUUUCUGUUAUUUGUUAUUAGUCUGUGAUAUUCUGUUAUAGUAGCACAAAAUGGACUAUGACACCAUGUGUUUGCACAGAAAGAAAAGAAUCUCAUAUGGUAAUUGCCCCUUAAUCUGCAGAGAAUAUGUUCUGAUAUCCUCAGUGGAUGCCUGAAACUGCAGAUAGUACCAAACCAUAUAUAUACUACGGUUUUUUUUCCCCAUACAUACGCAUGUUAAAGUUUAAUUUAUAAGUUAGGCAGAGUAAGGUAUUAACAAUAACUAAUAUUGAAAUAGAAACAUUAUAACGAUGUGCUGUAAUAAAAGUUAUGUGACU